GGAGUCUGGGCCGUAUCUCAGUCCCAAUGUGCCCGUUCACCCUCUCAGGCCGGGUAACUAUCGUCGCCUUGGUGGGCCGUUACCUCACCAACCAGCUAAUAGUACGCGGGCCGCUCCUGGGGCGCUUCAAAAGAAGCUUUGAUGUAAAGUCUCUAACUCUCCACACCGUAUUCGGUAUUAUCCGAUAUUUCUAUCGGCUAUCCCCAUCCUCAGGGUACGUCACCCACGCGUUACUCACCAGUCCGCCGCUCUCAUGGAUAGCAAGCUACCCAAUCCCGCUCGACUUGCAUGCUUAAGACGCGCCGCCAGCGUUCGUU
This 317-nucleotide ribosomal RNA is filed under the name uncultured Treponema sp. RNAcentral describes it as "partial 16S ribosomal RNA". The record is from RNAcentral. Lineage: Bacteria; Pseudomonadati; Spirochaetota; Spirochaetia; Treponematales; Treponemataceae.